GACAACUUUGAACGGUUUGAAGAACCCUGGGGAUGCAUACUUUUUUUUCUCUUAUGCCCCUCCCAUUCACAAAUUUUCAAGUGAUAUGAUACAGUUAAAUUCUGUAAUUCAGUGACUCGAAAUGAUGUUUGCAUGGUUAGCAGUAAAUAUCUCUAUUCUGCUUAUUUAUGUAUUUAUUUACUUGACUGGACUGGAACAAAUAUGGGUAACUGAUUUGAGUAUUUGUUAAUGCAAAUACUAAAGCCAUUAGCCAUAUAAUUGUAACAAUAUUUUAAAGUAUUAUAAUGGUUUUAAGAUUUCUUUUUGCCUGGUGUAUGUGGCUUUUUAUAUGAUCAUUUAUGAGGAUAAAUGAUUAUCUUUAUAAUGAUAAUUUAAAAUUAAGUACUUUGUCAUUUCUACUCCUUGUUCUCAUUUCCAGAGGGCGUUAAUUUGUGAUCCACUCACCAGGUUGAACUAUUACAAGAAAAAGGUUUUACUUGCAGGAUGUUUGACUUUUUAAAAAACACCAUACUUGUGUCUUUAGGUAGUAUCUAUCUAAAAAAAAAAAAGGUGCAAAGAAUGCGAUCUCAUAAUGUAGAUAUUUGGGCUAGAGGACCAGUAAUUCUUAAAGCCUUUUGAAAAUAUGAUUCUUUAUAAAUGCUGUGGUCCUUCUUUAUAGAAAGUGUUUAUGAAGCACACACAAAGAAAUUUUAGAUACAAAGUAGUGCCUGUUCGCGAUCUUCUUGAAGGAAGAUUCAGUAACUCUGAUCUUGAUAAUUGAGGUAACGUUAAACAAAAUGCCAUCUUUUUCCCUCUUUCGUAUAUAGACAUUGAAACCAGAUGGAUCAAUAGACUGUUUUUCUAAAUACAUCAUUUUGUUUUUAUUGUGUAAACCUUUCCUUACAAAUAAGUCCUUAGACUGAUUUGUAACAUGGAAGUAAGUGGACAUCUGGCUUCUCUGAAAAAUAUGAUUCACUCAUUUGCAUUUUUAAAUUCCAUUCAUUCCAUUUUUAAAUUUUUCACUUGUCCUCUUUGCUCUUUCUAAAAGCAACUCUUCUCAACUCUUUUCAAUUUCAAAUACCUAAAGAAUUUAUGCUUCUUAUAAUUCGCAACAUUAUUCCUUUAAAAUUUUUAAAUGAAAAUAAAUAUUCAAGAUCCACAACAUGAGGAAAACCUUGAUAUGUAGAAGGAAUAAGUGGAAAUCAGAAGAAACAUUAAAGACAUUCCAGUGUCACUGAGCAUGCAGAAACUUGAAAAAAUGGAGUAUGAGGUGGGAGGAUCACUUGAGCCCAGAAG
This is a long non-coding RNA of Cebus imitator (Panamanian white-faced capuchin), 1275 nucleotides long. RefSeq lists it as uncharacterized. Lineage: Eukaryota; Metazoa; Chordata; Mammalia; Primates; Cebidae. The record is from RefSeq and is a predicted model, not a curated record. The transcript is spliced from 3 exons.